Molecule: non-coding RNA, 1624 nt
Organism: Manis javanica (Malayan pangolin)
Lineage: Eukaryota; Metazoa; Chordata; Mammalia; Pholidota; Manidae
Source: RefSeq, a predicted model, not a curated record
CUGAAGUGGAGAAAUCAGGCUGCUUCUUCACACUGCAUACAGUGGUCUGAAAAGAAAAGUGAUAGUCACAGGGGACUGUCACCACAGGCCAAUUCCUACUCAUCCUUCAAAAUUUAGCUUUGGAUAUUAUCCCCUCUGAGAAAAUCUCCAUGGUGUCUGAUGCCUCAUGCCCUGUUAGGGCAGCCUCUCAGACUGCUGACUGGAAGGGUCCUAAAAAUACCACCACUAGAACCAUGGAUGACUAUGCUCAGAUUUGGGAUGGGUUUAUAUGGCUUACCCCUGGUUAUGGAUAUUUGAACACCUGGACACCUCUAUGUUGGGAACAGAAAAAUCAUUCUUAACAGAACCAACCCAAUUGUACAAGGAAUAUGGGAUGGCUAUCAUUGGAACUGUGCAGUUAUUCUGUCCUAUUAAAGGUUAACAACUGGUUAGGCAUUGACUGGUCAUGCCACUUUGGUAAGUAUUAGGUAACCCUGAAUGGGAGCCAGCGGUGAUGUGGCAUAAUUCUUUGGCAACGGCUGCAUCCUCGGUUUUCCCUGGGCACAGGUGAGAGUCUGCCCCACAGUAACAACAAUUACAAACCUCCUUUCCCUCCAGGCCAGGUGAGCACAUUCCAUUUUCCACUGGUACAAUUACUUGGCCACCAACUUUGUCUCUUCCAAUGGCCGGAGGGUGUUACAGCACAUGCAGAAGGCCUUACUGCAUUCACCCAGCAAGCCUUGGCUGACAGCCAACAAGUCUGUCCAUACUCAACACUGAAGCGUCUCUAAUAAAAAAGCUGUAUUCCAAAUAGAAUGGCCUUGGACAUUAUUAUUGCCUUACAAGGAGGAAACUGAACCAUUAUCCAAACAGAAUGUGUAUUCAUAUGUGAUUAUGAGUCCGCUAAUGUAUCAUGUUUGCUAAGCCACAUGAGGACAAGAAGUGUCCUCGCCAAGGGAAUUUAAGAAAUCAGUUGUUUGGAUCAUGCGGCUCCUAAUCAGUGUAUCUCAAUCUGUGCUUUCUCCUGCUUGUGCCUGUAUUGUUGCUGGGGUGUCUGCCUCUGAUGCAGCCAGACAGCUGUCAAACGGGCCACUUCCAUGCUAGUGAAACCCCUUGCUGACCACUCAAGGCACAGUGCAGGAGACAGGGGCAUGUGAGAUUGUAUGAGCUGUCCCCGGGGCUGGAAUGUCCUCGAGAGGACGUGACCACACGGUGACAACCACGCUGGACCCUUGGAGGCUCAUCACUUUCUCCCAUCCUUAAAAAGUGCAUUCUGCUUGCCUUCCUCAUGCUGGAAGCUGCCAGAGGGCACAGCCUUGAGAGAGCACAUUGUUACUAAGAACUUCUGGACAGUGUAUGUCCACACUGAACCCAGUUAAGGCCUCUAUAUAGACUUUUAAGUUUCUGGCAGGUGAGUGCAGAGAUGUAUUCAUCUGUCGAGGUCUGAAACAAGCCUCAUAUGUAAGUUCCCUUUCUUAUUAGGCCUGCCACCUACCAAACUGGAAUGGCAUUCCUCUUUCUUCAUUCUCUCCCUGCCCUCCGUGUCUGUGUGCCAGUUUCAGAUUACACCCAGGAAGCUCCUGAAGUUGUGAACUAACACUCCUCAUCUAGUUGCCGCAAGGGUACCAAAUAUCAAGGAAGCAGG